AGAAGAGGAAGAAAGGGGGAAACCCCUCUCAAACCCUAAUCAACGAAUCAGAUGGGAAUUGGGCUGAAUUCGAACUUGCAUGAGCCUAAAUAGUGAUUAUCUAAGCAAGCUUUAGCCAAGGUAUCGCAUGAGCAUGGAAGGCAAAUGGGUCAAGAUGAGGCAAGGAAGCGGUUACGAACACGGAUGCACAAGGUUGUGCGGACUUAGCAUCGUCAUGAAGAAUAGAAGGAUUGAGGAUCGAGUCAAGAGCAAGGAUUGUACGGAAGAACAGUCACGUAGUUUUAAUUAUGUAAUGUUUUAACAUGUGAAAGUAAAUGUAAAUAUUUCCUUUGGCAAAUGUCUAAUAUUUUGAAA
Molecule: long non-coding RNA, 354 nt
Organism: Helianthus annuus (common sunflower)
Lineage: Eukaryota; Viridiplantae; Streptophyta; Magnoliopsida; Asterales; Asteraceae
Exons: 3
Source: RefSeq, a predicted model, not a curated record